RNAcentral lists this ribosomal RNA (482 nucleotides) under uncultured bacterium. RNAcentral describes it as "partial 16S ribosomal RNA". It matches the Rfam family "Bacterial small subunit ribosomal RNA", at positions 30 to 507 of the family's 1533-position model. The record is from RNAcentral.
AUUGAACGCUGGCGGCAUGCUUUACACAUGCAAGUCGAACGGUAACAGGUCUUCGGAUGCUGACGAGUGGCGAACGGGUGAGUAAUACAUCGGAACGUGCCUAGUAGUGGGGGAUAACUACUCGAAAGAGUAGCUAAUACCGCAUGAGAUCUACGGAUGAAAGCAGGGGACCUUCGGGCCUUGUGCUACUAGAGCGGCUGAUGGCAGAUUAGGUAGUUGGUGGGGUAAAGGCUUACCAAGCCUGCGAUCUGUAGCUGGUCUGAGAGGACGACCAGCCACACUGGGACUGAGACACGGCUCAGACUCCUACGGGAGGCAGCAGUGGGGAAUUUUGGACAAUGGGCGAAAGCCUGAUCCAGCAAUGCCGCGUGCAGGAUGAAGGCCCUCGGGUUGUAAACUGCUUUUGUACGGAACGAAAAGCCUGGGGCUAAUAUCCCCGGGUCAUGACGGUACCGUAAGAAUAAGCACCGGCUAACUACGUG